RNAcentral lists this ribosomal RNA (833 nucleotides) under uncultured bacterium. Its description in RNAcentral is "bacterial SSU rRNA". It matches the Rfam family "Bacterial small subunit ribosomal RNA", at positions 64 to 896 of the family's 1533-position model. The record is from RNAcentral.
GAACGGUAAGUUGAAUAGCAAUAUUUGACCUAGAGUGACGUACGGGUGCGUAACACGUAUGCAACCUACCCUUUACAGGAGGAUAGCUCGGGGAAACUCGAAUUAACCCUCCAUGAGAUCAUAGAGUAGCAUUACUUAGUGAUUAAAACUCCGGUGGUAAAGGAUGGGCAUGCGUCUGAUUAGUUAGUUGGCGGGGUAAUGGCCCACCAAGACGAUGAUCAGUAGGGGAACUGAGAGGUUGAUCCCCCACACUGGCACUGAGAUACGGGCCAGACUCCUACGGGAGGCAGCAGUAGGGAAUAUUGGUCAAUGGAUGCAAGUCUGAACCAGCCAUGCCGCGUGCAGGAAGAAGGCCUUCUGGGUUGUAAACUGCUUUUGCCAGGGGAUAAAAUUUCCUUGCGAGGAAAAUUGAAGGUACCUGGUGAAUAAGCCACGGCUAACUACGUGCCAGCAGCCGCGGUAAUACGUAGGUGGCAAGCGUUGUCCGGAUUUAUUGGGUUUAAAGGGUGCGUAGGCGGUUUUGUAAGUCAGUGGUGAAAUAUAGCAGCUUAACUGUUAGGGUGCCAUUGAUACUGCAGAACUUGAGUACAGAUGAGGUAGGCGGAAUUGACGGUGUAGCGGUGAAAUGCUUAGAUAUCGUCAAGAACACCUAUAGCGAAGGCAGCUUACUAGGCUGUAACUGACGCUGAGGCACGAAAGUGUGGGGAUCAAACAGGAUUAGAUACCCUGGUAGUCCACACUGUAAACGUUGAUUACUCGCUGUGUGCGAUAUACAGUACGCGGCCAAGCGAAAGCGAUAAGUAAUCCACCUGGGGAGUACGCCGGGAACGGUG